RNAcentral lists this ribosomal RNA (301 nucleotides) under uncultured bacterium. Its description in RNAcentral is "partial 16S ribosomal RNA". It matches the Rfam family "Bacterial small subunit ribosomal RNA", at positions 509 to 809 of the family's 1533-position model. The record is from RNAcentral.
CAGCAGCCGCGGUAAUACAGAGGGUGCGAGCGUUAAUCGGAUUUACUGGGCGUAAAGCGUGCGUAGGCGGCUUCUUAAGUCGGAUGUGAAAUCCCUGAGCUUAACUUAGGAAUUGCAUUUGAUACUGGGAAGCUAGAGUAUGGGAGAGGAUGGUAGAAUUCCAGGUGUAGCGGUGAAAUGCGUAGAGAUCUGGAGGAAUACCGAUGGCGAAGGCAGCCAUCUGGCCUAAUACUGACGCUGAGGUACGAAAGCAUGGGGAGCAAACAGGAUUAGAUACCCCCGUAGUCCCUGUCUCUUAUAU